Molecule: transfer RNA, 71 nt
Filed under: Camelus bactrianus (Bactrian camel)
Lineage: Eukaryota; Metazoa; Chordata; Mammalia; Artiodactyla; Camelidae
Also listed under: 2 other names
Rfam family: tRNA
About the family: Transfer RNA (tRNA) molecules are approximately 80 nucleotides in length. Their secondary structure includes four short double-helical elements and three loops (D, anti-codon, and T loops).
Source: Rfam by way of RNAcentral
GAGGAUAUAACUCAAGUGGUAGAGUGCAUGCUUAGCAUGUAUGAGUCCUGGGUUCAAUUCCCAGUACCUCU